CUCUGGGCUGCCUAUCCAGUUAAUUCUGUGCAGAUCCAUGUAAAGCCUAGCACUGCUCUAUUGCAGUGCCUCCAAAAUCCUUCAAAGGAUUACAAAAUCAAACUUGGAGUCCUAUGGUUUUAUUUCCUCCACCCUGCUUUCUGACCUCUCAAGCAGGAUAACAGGACUGGCUUGUCCUUCCCUUCUCCUUUCAUGUUGUCUUUUCUUCCUCUUUGCAUUUUCAGGUGAACUAAACGUACCUGCACUGAAGAUAUUAAAUGCGACGUCUUUCCCAGGAACUGAAGCUUUUCUAGGCUGUUUCCAUUGUUCUUACCAUGAGAUGACUACCGAAAAUGUGCCCAUGCUGCUGCUGGCUUGUCUUCAAA
Molecule: non-coding RNA, 365 nt
Organism: Meleagris gallopavo (turkey)
Lineage: Eukaryota; Metazoa; Chordata; Aves; Galliformes; Phasianidae
Source: RefSeq, a predicted model, not a curated record